This 490-nucleotide ribosomal RNA is filed under the name uncultured bacterium. RNAcentral's name for it is "partial 16S ribosomal RNA". It matches the Rfam family "Bacterial small subunit ribosomal RNA", at positions 30 to 507 of the family's 1533-position model. The record is from RNAcentral.
AUUGAACGCUGGCGGCAGGCCUAACACAUGCAAGUCGAACGGUAACAGGAUACAGCUUGCUGUUUCGCUGACGAGUGGCGGGCGGGUGAGUCAUGUCUGGGAAACUGCCUGAUGGAGGGGGAUAACUACUGGAAACGGUAGCUAAUACCGCAUAACUUCGCAAGACCAAAGGGGGGGACCUUCGGGCCUCUUGUCAUCAGAUGUGCCCAGAUGGGCUUGGCUAGUAGGUGGGGUAACGGCUCACCUAGGCGACGAGCGCUAGCUGGUGUGAGAGGAUGACAAGCGACACUGGAACUGAAACACGGUCAAUGCUCCUGCGGGAGGCAGCAGUGGGGAAUAUUGCACAGUGGUGGGAAGCAUGGUGCAGCCAGGCCGCGUGUAUGGAGAAGACCUUCGGGUUGUAAAGUACUUUCAGCGGGGAGAAAGGGAGUAAGGUUAAUACCUAUGCUCAUUGACGUUACCCGCAGAAGAAGCACCGGCUAACUCCGUG